This 497-nucleotide ribosomal RNA is filed under the name uncultured bacterium. RNAcentral describes it as "partial 16S ribosomal RNA". It matches the Rfam family "Bacterial small subunit ribosomal RNA", at positions 28 to 507 of the family's 1533-position model. The record is from RNAcentral.
GAUGAACGCUGGCGGCGUGCCUAAUACAUGCAAGUCGAGCGAACAGAUGAGGAGCUUGCUCCUCUGACGUUAGCGGCGGACGGGUGAGUAACACGUGGAUAACCUACCUAUAAGACUGGGAUAACUUCGGGAAACCGGAGCUAAUACCGGAGAAUAUAUUGAACCGCAUGGUUCAAUAGUGAAAGACGGUUUUGCUGUCACGUAUAGAUGGAUCCGCGCCGCAUUAGCUAGUUGGUAAGGUAACGGCUUACCAAGGCAACGAUGCGUAGCCGACCUGAGAGGGUGAUCGGCCACACUGGAACUGAGACACGGUCCAGACUCCUACGGGAGGCAGCAGUGGGGAAUCUUCCGCAAUGGGCGAAAGCCUGACGGAGCAACGCCGCGUGAGUGAUGAAGGUCUUCGGAUCGUAAAACUCUGUUAUUAGGGAAGAACAAAUGUGUAAGUAACUAUGCACGUCUUGACGGCACCUAAUCAGAAAGCCACGGCUAACUACGUG